GUAGACCACAGGGAUUGCCCUAGUAACGGCGAGUGAAGCGGCAACAGCUCAAAUUUGAAAUCUGGCCUCGGCCCGAGUUGUAAUUUGCAGAGGAUGCUUCUGGCGCGGUGCCUUCCGAGUUCCCUGGAACGGGACGCCACAGAGGGUGAGAGCCCCGUAUGGUCGGACACCAAGCCUGUGUGAAGCUCCUUCGACGAGUCGAGUAGUUUGGGAAUGCUGCUCUAAAUGGGAGGUAAAUCUCUUCUAAAGCUAAAUACCGGCCAGAGACCGAUAGCGCACAAGUAGAGUGAUCGAAAGAUGAAAAGCACCUUGAAAAGGGGGUUAAAUAGUACGUGAAAUUGUUGAAAGGGAAGCACUUAUGACCAGACUUGGGCCGGGCGGCUCAUCAGGGGUUCUCCCCUGUGCACUCCGCCCGGCACAGGCCAGCAUCGGUUCUCGUGGGGGGAUAAGACCGUCAGGAACGUAGCACUCUCCGGAGUGUGUUAUAGCCUGGCGGACGAUACCCCCGUGGGGACCGAGGUCCGCGCAUUGCAAGGAUGCUGGCGUAAUGGUCAUCAGUGACCCGUCUUGAAACACGGACCAAGGAGUCGUCCAUUAGAGCGAGCGUUUGGGUGUAAAACCCGCACGCGUAAUGAAAGUGAACGCAGGUGAGAGCUUCGGCGCAUCAUCGACCGAUCCUGAUGUUCUCGGAAGGAUUUGAGUAAGAGUUUUAACGGACGGACCCGAAAGACAGUGAACUAUGCUUGAAUAGGGUGAAGCCAGAGGAAACUCUGGUGGAGGCUCGCAGCGGUUCUGACGUGCAAAUCGAUCGUCAAAUUUGAGCA
Molecule: ribosomal RNA, 824 nt
Filed under: Diaporthe foeniculina
Lineage: Eukaryota; Fungi; Ascomycota; Sordariomycetes; Diaporthales; Diaporthaceae
Description: eukaryotic LSU rRNA
Rfam family: Eukaryotic large subunit ribosomal RNA
Source: RNAcentral